GAUGAACGCUGGCGGCGUGCCUAAUACAUGCAAGUCGAGCGAACAGACGAGGAGCUUGCUCCUCUGACGUUAGCGGCGGACGGGUGAGUAACACGUGGAUAACCUACCUAUAAGACUGGGAUAACUUCGGGAAACCGGAGCUAAUACCGGAUAAUAUAUUGAACCGCAUGGUUCAAUAGUGAAAGACGGUUUUGCUGUCACUUAUAGAUGGAUCCGCGCCGCAUUAGCUAGUUGGUAAGGUAACGGCUUACCAAGGCAACGAUGCGUAGCCGACCUGAGAGGGUCAUCGGCCACACUGGAACUGAGACACGGUCCAGACUCCUACGGGAGGCAGCAGUAGGGAAUCUUCCGCAAUGGGCGAAAGCCUGACGGAGCAACGCCGCGUGAGUGAUGAAGGUCUUCGGAUCGUAAAACUCUGUUAUUAGGGAAGAACAAAUGUGUAAGUAACUAUGUACGUCUUGACGGUACCUAAUCAGAAAGCCACGGCUAACUACGUG
RNAcentral lists this ribosomal RNA (497 nucleotides) under uncultured bacterium. Its description in RNAcentral is "partial 16S ribosomal RNA". It matches the Rfam family "Bacterial small subunit ribosomal RNA", at positions 28 to 507 of the family's 1533-position model. The record is from RNAcentral.